AGAGUUUGAUCAUGGCUCAGAAUCAACGCUGGCGGCGUGCCUAACACAUGCAAGUCGAACGAGAAAGUGGAGCAAUCCAUGAGUAAAGUGGCGACCGGGUGAGUAACACGUGACUAACCUACCUCCGAGUGGGGAAUAACUCCGGGAAACCGGGGCUAAUACCGCAUAACAUCGCAAGAUCAAAGCAGCAAUGCGCUUGGAGAGGGGGUCGCGGCUGAUUAGCUAGUUGGCGGGGUAACGGCCCACCAAGGCGAAGAUCGGUAUCCGGCCUGAGAGGGCGCACGGACACACUGGAACUGAAACACGGUCCAGACUCCUACGGGAGGCAGCAGUGGGGAAUUUUGCGCAAUGGGGGAAACCCUGACGCAGCAACGCCGCGUGGAGGAUGAAGUCCCUUGGGACGUAAACUCCUUUCGACCAAGACGAUAAUGACGGUACUGGUGGAAGAAGCACCGGCUAACUCUGUGCCAGCAGCCGCGGUAAUACAGAGGGUGCGAGCGUUGUUCGGAAUUAUUGGGCGUAAAGGGCGCGUAGGCGGUGCCACAAGUCACCUGUGAAAUCCCCGGGCUUAACUCGGGGCCUGCAGGCGAAACUGUGGUGCUGGAGUAUGGGAGAGGUGCGUGGAAUUCCCGGUGUAGCGGUGAAAUGCGUAGAUAUCGGGAGGAACACCUGUGGCGAAAGCGGCGCACUGGACCAUAACUGACGCUGAGGCGCGAAAGCUAGGGGAGCAAACAGGAUUAGAUACCCUGGUAGUCCUAGCCCUAAACUAUGAUCGCUUGGUGUGACAGGUACCCAAUCCUGUCGUGCCGGAGCUAACGCGUUAAGCGAUCCGCCUGGGGAGUACGGUCGCAAGGCUGAAACUCAAAGGAUUUGACGGGGGCCCGCACAAGCGGUGGAGCAUGUGGUUCAAUUCGACGCAACGCGAAGAACCUUACCUGGGCUCGAAGCGUAGUGGACCGAGGUAGAAU
This 968-nucleotide ribosomal RNA is filed under the name uncultured bacterium. RNAcentral's name for it is "bacterial SSU rRNA". It matches the Rfam family "Bacterial small subunit ribosomal RNA", at positions 8 to 1006 of the family's 1533-position model. The record is from RNAcentral.